AUGUUGAACCAAAUGAAAGUUCCACGCGAGAUGCCACCACCAAAACAUGCUUAUGGCCUUGCGAUGAGUAUAUGGUGCGUGUGGGCAUUUGAGAUAAGUGUGAACAAGGCCGGCCUUGGUCCCUACCUUUCAGAUAAGUGUGAACAACGCCAACUUCUCACUGAAUCUUUUGUCAAAGGAUUUAAAUAUUUUCCACGUGAGUCUAGGGUGUCGUUUAUGCUUUAUGAUAGACCUUUUACCAUCUCACUAGAGAAUUUUGCUUAUCACUGCAAACUUCAAUUUUGGGGUUCGCUUGACGAACCACCAAAGGUUGAGUUCGAAACAUUCUUGACAAGUCUUUGUUACGGUGAAAGGAGGGGAGUGACACAAGCUAGAAUAAAGAGCAUUCAUUUUCCCGCAAUUCAGUACUUUGCAUUAUUCAACGGGAAAUGUAUAGUAGGCAAACAAGACUGUAGUACGCUCUGUGCUCCAGACUUGAGCCUCAUAUGCACUGCUCUCACUGGUGAAAGGAAUUAUAACCUUGGUGCAAUUGUUGCACGCAGACUUCAGCAUAACGCUAACAGUGGCUGGUUCUAUGGUGGAAUUUAUGCCACACGUUUAGCAUGA
This 606-nucleotide ribosomal RNA is filed under the name Triticum aestivum (bread wheat). RNAcentral describes it as "partial small subunit ribosomal RNA". Lineage: Eukaryota; Viridiplantae; Streptophyta; Magnoliopsida; Poales; Poaceae. The record is from RNAcentral.